RNAcentral lists this long non-coding RNA (514 nucleotides) under Lactuca sativa (garden lettuce). RNAcentral describes it as "long non-coding RNA (LSAT_LNC008005)". The record is from RNAcentral. Lineage: Eukaryota; Viridiplantae; Streptophyta; Magnoliopsida; Asterales; Asteraceae.
GAAUUAGUUUGCAUUUGUCAAAACCAUUUCAUGUUUAACAUAAUACAAUUUCGAAACAUAACAUAAUAGAAAAAAAGAAACACAUUUGGACACCAACCUUUUAUAUUUAUGAUAUUAAAUACAAUAAUCAAAGUUAAGGGCAUCCUAAACAGAGGCAAAAACCGUUACAACACUUAGGCAGCCCAACUGGACAGCUUAUCUGACAUGAUCCAACUGAGGGACUACACUUCUCAAACUUCACUAACGAGCCUUUGUUAGCCAAAACAGAUGAGAUAAACAAACCUGAAAAUUAAAGCAUAUUCCAUUAGAGAUAAGCAUGGAACAUGAUGGUAAUUAGACUGCUAGUUAUCUCGAGACAAACAAAAGAUCUAGUUCGUACCACAUAUGGAAAGCAAUAACAUGAUCAAGUACACCAUCUUCAAAUUUUGCUCCAUGUUUUAAACCAAAACCAAAGGAGAUAGUUUUAAUCUGCAUCAAAGUAAUCUCUUAUGCCUCAUAUAUAUAAGAGUAAUUU